GACGAACGCUGGCGGCGUGCUUAACACAUGCAAGUCGAACGGAAAGGCCCUGCUUUUGUGGGGUGCUCGAGUGGCGAACGGGUGAGUAACACGUGAGUAACCUGCCCUUGACUUUGGGAUAACUUCAGGAAACUGGGGCUAAUACCGGAUAGGAGCUCCUGCUGCAUGGUGGGGGUUGGAAAGUUUCGGCGGUUGGGGAUGGACUCGCGGCUUAUCAGCUUGUUGGUGGGGUAGUGGCUUACCAAGGCUUUGACGGGUAGCCGGCCUGAGAGGGUGACCGGCCAACUUGGGACUGGGAAACGGCCCAGACCACCAGGGGGGGGAGCAGGGGGGAAUAUUGAAAAAUGGGGGGAAGCCUGAUGCAGAAACGCCGGGGGGGGGAUGACGGCCUUGGGGUUGUAAACCGCUUUCCCCUGGGACGAAGGGUGAGUGACGGUAAGGGGUAAAGAAACACCGGCUAACUACGU
Molecule: ribosomal RNA, 467 nt
Filed under: uncultured bacterium
Lineage: Bacteria
Description: partial 16S ribosomal RNA
Rfam family: Bacterial small subunit ribosomal RNA
Source: RNAcentral